RNAcentral lists this ribosomal RNA (492 nucleotides) under uncultured bacterium. RNAcentral describes it as "partial 16S ribosomal RNA". It matches the Rfam family "Bacterial small subunit ribosomal RNA", at positions 29 to 507 of the family's 1533-position model. The record is from RNAcentral.
AGUGAACGCUGGCGGUAGGCCUAACACAUGCAAGUCGAACGGCAGCACAGUAAGAGCUUGCUCUUACGGGUGGCGAGUGGCGGACGGGUGAGGAAUACAUCGGAAUCUACUUUUUCGUGGGGGAUAACGUAGGGAAACUUACGCUAAUACCGCAUACGACCUACGGGUGAAAGCAGGGGAUCUUCGGACCUUGCGCGAUUGGAUGAGCCGAUGUCGGAUUAGCUAGUUGGCGGGGUAAAGGCCCACCAAGGCGACGAUCCGUAGCUGGUCUGAGAGGAUGAUCAGCCACACUGGAACUGAGACACGGUCCAUACUCCUACGGGAGGCAGCAGUGGGGAAUAUUGGACAAUGGGCGCAAGCCUGAUCCAGCCAUACCGCGUGGGUGAAGAAGGCCUUCGGGUUGUAAAGCCCUUUUGUUGGGAAAGAAAAGCAGCAGGUUAAUACCCCGCUGUUCUGACGGUACCCAAAGAAUAAGCACCGGCUAACUUCGUG